Molecule: ribosomal RNA, 920 nt
Filed under: Symbiodinium sp. Mp
Lineage: Eukaryota; Dinophyceae; Suessiales; Symbiodiniaceae
Description: partial Bacterial small subunit ribosomal RNA
Rfam family: Bacterial small subunit ribosomal RNA
Source: RNAcentral
GCUGGCGGCAGGCUUAACACAUGCAAGUCGAGCGGUAACAGGGGGUGCUUGCACCCCGCUGACGAGCGGCGGACGGGUGAGUAAUGCAUAGGAAACUGCCCAGUAGUGGGGGAUAGCCCGGGGAAACCCGGAUUAAUACCGCGUACGCCCUUCGGGGGAAAGCAGGGGAUCUUCGGACCUUGCGCUAUUGGAUGUGCCUAUGUCGGAUUAGCUAGUUGGUGGGGUAAAGGCCUACCAAGGCGACGAUCCGUAGCUGGUCUGAGAGGAUGAUCAGCCACAUCGGGACUGAGACACGGCCCGAACUCCUACGGGAGGCAGCAGUGGGGAAUAUUGGACAAUGGGCGAAAGCCUGAUCCAGCCAUCCCGCGUGGAGGAUGACUGCCCUACGGGUUGUAAACUCCUUUUAUAUGAGAAGAAACGCCUGGAUUUAUCCGGGCCUGACGGUAUCUUAUGAAUAAGCACCGGCUAACUCCGUGCCAGCAGCCGCGGUAAUACGGAGGGGGCUAGCGUUGUUCGGAAUUACUGGGCGUAAAGCGCACGUAGGCGGAUCAGUCAGUCAGAGGUGAAAUCCCGGAGCUCAACUUCGGAACUGCCUUUGAUACUGCUGGUCUAGAGUCCGGGAGAGGUGCAUGGAAUUCCGAGUGUAGAGGUGAAAUUCGUAGAUAUUCGGAAGAACACCAGUGGCGAAGGCGGCUCACUGGCUCGGUACUGACGCUGAGGUGCGAAAGCGUGGGGAGCAAACAGGAUUAGAUACCCUGGUAGUCCACGCCGUAAACGAUGUGCGCUAGCCGUUGGGGCUCGUAGAGUCUCGGUGGCGCAGUUAACGCGUUAAGCGCACCGCCUGGGGAGUACGGCCGCAAGGUUAAAACUCAAAUGAAUUGACGGGGGCCCGCACAAGCGGUGGAGCAUGUGGUUUAAUU